AGCUCUCCCAGCAGCGACAGAAAGAUCUCACCAGUACGCAGAACCCUCCCAGUGGAGGAGAACCAGGAGAACCAGGACGUCCAGGCUUGUUCUGCAACAUGAGGAGAACGUGUGCAACAUAAACACGAGAGGGGAACAACCAGGAAGUCAGACACACUGGGACGCAGACUGGGAGGAAUCUGGUCCGUCUGCAUGUGGAGGUGGCCGAGCUGUUUCAGACCAGAGCCACAGCGACGGGAGUCAUUUCGUGUGGUCCCACUUUGCGGCUGGACUAUGAGAACUCUGUUGUGCAUGUUUGCAUUUUUAAGAAAUUCUUGUGCAGUGAACUUGUGGACCCUCCCUUCUCUUUCCAGUUGCAGCCCCUGCUCUAUG
This is a long non-coding RNA of Anoplopoma fimbria (sablefish), 372 nucleotides long. RefSeq lists it as uncharacterized. NCBI's taxonomy places the organism in Eukaryota, Metazoa, Chordata, Actinopteri, Perciformes, Anoplopomatidae. The record is from RefSeq and is a predicted model, not a curated record. The transcript has 3 exons.